Molecule: ribosomal RNA, 406 nt
Filed under: uncultured bacterium
Lineage: Bacteria
Description: partial 16S ribosomal RNA
Rfam family: Bacterial small subunit ribosomal RNA
Source: RNAcentral
AUUGAACGCUGGCGGCAGGCCUAACACAUGCAAGUCGAACGAGUGGCGGACGGGUGAGUAAUGUCUGGGAAACUGCCUGAUGGAGGGGGAUAACUACUGGAAACGGUAGCUAAUACCGCAUACCAUCAGAUGUGCCCAGAUGGGAUUAGCGAGUUGGUGGGGUAACGGCUCACCAAGGCGACGAUCCCUAGCUGGUCUGAGAGGAUGACCCGCCAACCUUGAACUGGGAAGCGGGCCAGACUCGUGCGGGAGGCAGCAGGGGGGAAUAUUGCACAAUGGGCGCAAGCCUGAUGCAGCCAUGACGCGUGUAUGAUGAAGGCCGUCGGGUUGGAAAGUACUUUCAGCGGGGAGGCGUUACCCGCAGAAGAAGCACCGGCUAACUCCGUGCCAGCAGCCGCGGUAAUAC